Molecule: ribosomal RNA, 251 nt
Filed under: uncultured bacterium
Lineage: Bacteria
Description: partial 16S ribosomal RNA
Rfam family: Bacterial small subunit ribosomal RNA
Source: RNAcentral
CGGGUGAGUAACGCGUGGAAAACCUGCCGUAUACUGGGGGAUAACACUUAGAAAUAGGUGCUAAUACCGCAUAAGCGCACAGCUUCGCAUGAAGUGGUGUGAAAAACUCUGGUGGUAUACGAUGGUUCCGCGUCUGAUUAGCUUGUUGGUGGGGUAAUGGCUCACCAAGGCGACGAUCAGUAGCCGGCCUGAGAGGGCGGACGGCCACACUGGGACUGAGACACGGCCCAGACUCCUACGGGAGGCAGCAG